GUUUCAGCGAUCUUUCCCUUUCUACAAUCAUAAUUUAAAUGAUUUCAUAUUCCUGCCAAUGUGCUAAUAGUUUUUCUCAUGUUUAUCAUUUGUGGCAGUGUAUUUUUCUAGUUUAAACAUUUGCAAUGCAGGCAGAGCCAGCCAUAUUUAAAGGGAAAGAUGUCAUGAAGUUGAUCAAGUUGGAAGAACGUCACAUGUUUUUAGUGCAGUGCAGAAUCAAUGGUGUAUUUCCAAUGUCCAUUAACAAAUUAAAGUUACUGGUAAGAUCAAAAAUUUUACUAGCUAGUACCAAAAGACAUUGUUUGUCGGCUGCUAUUACGGAUUCAAGAAGGCAAUUAUAUUGUUGGAAAUUUUACAUGCAGAGGUUUACACUUCAAGAAUGUUGAGCAAUUAAAGCUUGUUCUACCAUCUUUUAUGAGGUUUGUUGAUACGAAUCAACGCAAGAUUAGGAAAAGAUAUAUUAAAAAGCUAUGGUUGUUGAUAUCUAAACAAAUUAAAAAGAACGCUCCUAAUAACAACAAAACGUAUGUAGCCUUGGAUGACAUCAUCAUUCCUAGAUACGUGCACGAUACUUUAGCAAUAGGACCUAAUAAUUUGAUCCAGAACAUUCCCUCUUGGAGGCAUUUAGCUAUUCAAUUAGAACUGAUACUCCAAACCUGCGAUCCCAUUAGAGCUGACUAUAUUAGGUGGCAGGUAGCUUGAGCCUAUAACAACUAUAAUUUUAAUGAUGUAAAUUCUAUAAGGUCUAAGAUUAAACAGACAGAGAGAUGGUUUGAAGAUAAUAACAUAAUUUGUGCUAGAGAUGAUAAAAGUAAAUCGAUCGUUCUCAU
This 830-nucleotide long non-coding RNA is filed under the name Androctonus crassicauda. The record is from RNAcentral. Lineage: Eukaryota; Metazoa; Arthropoda; Arachnida; Scorpiones; Buthidae.